AGCUUGCUAGAUUGAUGGCGAGUGGCGAACGGGUGAGUAAUACAUCGGAACGUGCCCUGUAGUGGGGGAUAACUAGUCGAAAGAUUAGCUAAUACCGCAUACGACCUGAGGGUGAAAGUGGGGGACCGCAAGGCCUCAUGCUAUAGGAGCGGCCGAUGUCUGAUUAGCUAGUUGGUGGGGUAAAGGCCCACCAAGGCGACGAUCAGUAGCUGGUCUGAGAGGACGAUCAGCCACACUGGGACUGAGACACGGCCCAGACUCCUACGGGAGGCAGCAGUGGGGAAUUUUGGACAAUGGGCGAAAGCCUGAUCCAGCAAUGCCGCGUGUGUGAAGAAGGCCUUCGGGUUGUAAAGCACUUUUGUCCGGAAAGAAAUGGCUCUGGUUAAUACCUGGGGUCGAUGACGGUACCGGAAGAAUAAGGACCGGCUAACUACGUGCCAGCAGCCGCGGUAAUACGUAGGGUCCAAGCGUUAAUCGGAAUUACUGGGCGUAAAGCGUGCGCAGGCGGUUGUGCAAGACCGAUGUGAAAUCCCCGAGCUUAACUUGGGAAUUGCAUUGGUGACUGCACGGCUAGAGUGUGUCAGAGGGGGGUAGAAUUCCACGUGUAGCAGUGAAAUGCGUAGAGAUGUGGAGGAAUACCGAUGGCGAAGGCAGCCCCCUGGGAUAACACUGACGCUCAUGCACGAAAGCGUGGGGAGCAAACAGGAUUAGAUACCCUGGUAGUCCACGCCCUAAACGACGUCAACUAGUUGUUGGGGAUUCAUUUCCUUAGUAACGUAGCUAACGCGUGAAGUUGACCGCCUGGGGAGUACGGUCGCAAGAUUAAAACUCAAAGGAAUUGACGGGGACCCGCACAAGCGGUGGAUGAUGUGGAUUAAUUCGAUGCAACGCGAAAAACCUUACCUACCCUUGACAUGCCACUAACGAAGCAGAGAUGCAUUAGGUGCUCGAAAGAGAAAGUGGACACAGGUGCUGCAUGGCUGUCGUCAGCUCGUGUCGUGAGAUGUUGGGUUAAGUCCCGCAACGAGCGCAACCCUUGUCUCUAGUUGCUACGAAAGGGCACUCUAGAGAGACUGCCGGUGACAAACCGGAGGAAGGUGGGGAUGACGUCAAGUCCUCAUGGCCCUUAUGGGUAGGGCUUCACACGUCAUACAAUGGUGCAUACAGAGGGUUGCCAAGCCGCGAGGUGGAGCUAAUCCCAGAAAAUGCAUCGUAGUCCGGAUCGUAGUCUGCAACUCGACUACGUGAAGCUGGAAUCGCUAGUAAUCGCGGAUCAGCAUUCCGCGGUGAAUACGUUCCCGGGUCUUGUACACACCGCCCGUCACACCAUGGGAGUGGGCUU
Molecule: ribosomal RNA, 1342 nt
Filed under: uncultured Ralstonia sp.
Lineage: Bacteria; Pseudomonadati; Pseudomonadota; Betaproteobacteria; Burkholderiales; Burkholderiaceae
Description: bacterial SSU rRNA
Rfam family: Bacterial small subunit ribosomal RNA
Source: RNAcentral